RNAcentral lists this ribosomal RNA (429 nucleotides) under Chloroflexota bacterium. Its description in RNAcentral is "Chloroflexi bacterium partial 16S ribosomal RNA". It matches the Rfam family "Bacterial small subunit ribosomal RNA", at positions 355 to 776 of the family's 1533-position model. The record is from RNAcentral. Lineage: Bacteria; Bacillati; Chloroflexota.
UGGGGAAUAUUGCACAAUGGGCGCAAGCCUGAUGCAGCCAUGCCGCGUGUAUGAAGAAGGCCUUCGGGUUGUAAAGUACUUUCAGUCGGGAGGAAGGUGGUAAAGUUAAUACCUUUGCUCAUUGACGUUACCCGCAGAAGAAGCACCGGCUAACUCCGUGCCAGCAGCCGCGGUAAUACGGAGGGUGCAAGCGUUAAUCGGAAUUACUGGGCGUAAAGCGCACGCAGGCGGUUUGUUAAGUCAGAUGUGAAAUCCCCGGGCUCAACCUGGGAACUGCAUCUGAUACUGGCAAGCUUGAGUCUCGUAGAGGGGGGUAGAAUUCCAGGUGUAGCGGUGAAAUGCGUAGAGAGCUGGAGGAAUACCGGUGGCGAAGGCGGCCCCCUGGACGAAGACUGACGCUCAGGUGCGAAAGCGUGGGGAGCAAACAGG